GAGAAAGUCAUAGAGGUUAUGGUAUUGGCUUGAAACCAGUUUUAGGGGGUUCGAAUCCCUCCUUUCUUA
Molecule: transfer RNA, 69 nt
Filed under: Myotis horsfieldii
Lineage: Eukaryota; Metazoa; Chordata; Mammalia; Chiroptera; Vespertilionidae
Description: tRNA-Ser
Rfam family: tRNA
About the family: Transfer RNA (tRNA) molecules are approximately 80 nucleotides in length.
Source: RNAcentral